AUUGAACGCUGGCGGCAGGCCUAACACAUGCAAGUCGAACGAGUGGCGGACGGGUGAGUAAUGUCUGGGAAACUGCCCGAUGGAGGGGGAUAACUACUGGAAACGGUAGCUAAUACCGCAUACCAUCGGAUGUGCCCAGAUGGGAUUAGCUAGUAGGUGGGGUAACGGCUCACCUAGGCGACGAUCCCUAGCUGGUCUGAGAGGAUGACGAGCAACACUGGAACUGAGAACCGGCCCAGAGUCCUACGGGAGGAAGCAGUGGGGAAUAUUGCACAAUGGGGGCAAGCCUGACGAAGCCAUGCGGCGUGGAGGAAGAAGGCCUUCGGGUUGUAAAGUACUUUCAGCGAGGAGGCGUUACUCGCAGAAGAAGCACCGGCUAACUCCGUGCCAGCAGCCGCGGUAAUUC
This 406-nucleotide ribosomal RNA is filed under the name uncultured bacterium. RNAcentral's name for it is "partial 16S ribosomal RNA". It matches the Rfam family "Bacterial small subunit ribosomal RNA", at positions 29 to 526 of the family's 1533-position model. The record is from RNAcentral.